This 118-nucleotide small nuclear RNA is filed under the name Nicotiana sylvestris (wood tobacco). Its description in RNAcentral is "U1 spliceosomal RNA". It matches the Rfam family "U1 spliceosomal RNA", at positions 45 to 166 of the family's 166-position model. Rfam says of the family: U1 is a small nuclear RNA (snRNA) component of the spliceosome (involved in pre-mRNA splicing). Its 5' end forms complementary base pairs with the 5' splice junction, thus defining the 5' donor site of an intron. The record is from Rfam by way of RNAcentral. Lineage: Eukaryota; Viridiplantae; Streptophyta; Magnoliopsida; Solanales; Solanaceae.
GGCCUAGGUUGGUGACCUCCAUUGCACUUUGGAGGGGUGCCUGCCUAAGGUCGGCCCAAGUGGUUGAGCCUACGUCAUAAUUUGUGGUAGUGGGGGCCUGCGUUCGCGCGGUCCCUAC